GGGGUUCAUUUUAGAUACACAACACCAUCCAAGAGAGAGUUAGAGCUCCACUCCAAAGGCUAAACCUUGCCUCACUUGUGCUUAGAAUAGGGAGAGAGUGAGGGGUAGUUUAGGAGGAGUGUUGGGGUGUCAGCACUCUCCUUCGAGCUUGUAACUCUACGGAUGCUAGCUUCCUUUGAGUAAAGUAAGUUCGUAUACAUGAUUCCUUCUUAUAGUGUUAUACUUGGUUCUUAAAUACAUGAGUAGUCUAAGAUUCUUGCUAUGUUUAUACGCUUGGCUUAUAUGCUCGUAUGUUAGUCAUAUAUCCUUGCUAUGAUAAUAUAGGCUUGUAUGCUCUCAUGUAUGCCUUGAGAUCUUGAUAUAGUAUACACUAGUAGUAUCUAUAUUUAAGUGAGAUCAGUUCUCUCACUUGCGGGUUCAUCGCUCUGUAUUUAUACAGAGUGUUGUAGGUUUG
RNAcentral lists this long non-coding RNA (454 nucleotides) under Setaria viridis. RNAcentral's name for it is "long non-coding RNA (SVIR_LNC009421)". The record is from RNAcentral. Lineage: Eukaryota; Viridiplantae; Streptophyta; Magnoliopsida; Poales; Poaceae.